CAGGGAGACAACAAAAUGUUUAAUAUUAUUUUGUCACCUUAGGUCGAUCGGUAUCUCACGUUUUUAAUUUAUUAAGAAUUUCAUUUCCUAAGUUUUUCUAGGUCACACCCAUUAUUUUUCCUGGGCCAUUACCUCAGGUGGUUAGAGCGCACCCCUGAUAAGGGUGAGGUCCCUGGUUCAAGUCCAGGAUGGCCCAUAUCUCUAUGUUGGGGGUAUAGCUCAGUUGGUAGAGCGCCUGCUUUGCAAGCAGGAUGUCAGCGGUUCGAGUCCGCUUACCUCCACUGAUUACCACCUCUCGCAUAAUCUAUUAAAAGGAAAUGUUUUGAGUUGUGAUCAAAUUCUGAACGAAUCUAGCUUCCUAAUGAAAUCAUUAAGAUGCUGGACUCAUUGAAUUAAUUUCAUUGUUUUCAGAGAACCUUGACAACUGCAUAGAUUAUUUUUAAAGACAAUAAGCAUUUUUAAUGAUGCAGAUUUAUUAUUUGUGCGAAUGCAUUAAUAACAAUUCUAUUAAGCUGAUGCUUCAAUUUUGAAGUUAUU
RNAcentral lists this transfer RNA (537 nucleotides) under uncultured Prochlorococcus sp. RNAcentral describes it as "partial 16S-23S ribosomal RNA intergenic spacer". The stretch from base 209 to 281 matches the Rfam family "tRNA". The record is from RNAcentral. Lineage: Bacteria; Bacillati; Cyanobacteriota; Cyanophyceae; Synechococcales; Prochlorococcaceae.